This is a long non-coding RNA of Homo sapiens (human), 496 nucleotides long. RefSeq lists it as uncharacterized. Lineage: Eukaryota; Metazoa; Chordata; Mammalia; Primates; Hominidae. The record is from RefSeq and is a predicted model, not a curated record. The transcript is spliced from 4 exons.
GUUUUGGUGACUAUGGCCUUAUAGUACGGUUUCAAGUCAGGCCGGAGCAUGUAAUUGCUGGAGUGGGAUCCUUCAUGGAUUUCUCUUAUCCUGGCAUUGACAAUGAUAGAAGAGGAGGCCCCUCCUUCUACCUGGGUAACUGUGAUUAACAGACACAGAAUGGACGUGUGCUGAGAAAGAAAUCGUUGCUAUGUUAAGGUAAAAAUCGGUAGCAAAUUCACUCAGAUUCAGAAGGAAGAACAGAAGCUUCAUCUCUCAAUGAGAGGAUUGCCCUAUCAGUACUUCCAAAAGUGAAAAUGGGAACUGCAUUAAAAGACAAAAAUUGCCACAGCCACUCCAACCUUUAGCAACCACCACCCUGGUCAGUGAGCAGCCAACCAUUGAAGGUAGGACCCUUAAGCAAAACCGUUAUGAAUAACUGAAGGCUCGGAUGACUGUUACCAUAUUUAAAUUAAUGUAUGUACUGGUUUUUACAGAUUUAAUGCUAUUGCACACU